This 492-nucleotide ribosomal RNA is filed under the name uncultured bacterium. RNAcentral describes it as "partial 16S ribosomal RNA". It matches the Rfam family "Bacterial small subunit ribosomal RNA", at positions 29 to 507 of the family's 1533-position model. The record is from RNAcentral.
AGUGAACGCUGGCGGUAGGCCUAACACAUGCAAGUCGAACGGCAGCACAGUAGGAGCUUGCUCUUACGGGUGGCGAGUGGCGGACGGGUGAGGAAUACAUCGGAAUCUACUUUUUCGUGGGGGAUAACGUAGGGAAACUUACGCUAAUACCGCAUACGACCUACGGGUGAAAGCAGGGGAUCUUCGGACCUUGCGCGAUUGAAUGAGCCGAUGUCGGAUUAGCUAGUUGGCGGGGUAAAGGCCCACCAAGGCGACGAUCCGUAGCUGGUCUGAGAGGAUGAUCAGCCACACUGGAACUGAGACACGGUCCAGACUCCUACGGGAGGCAGCAGUGGGGAAUAUUGGACAAUGGGCGCAAGCCUGAUCCAGCCAUACCGCGUGGGUGAAGAAGGCCUUCGGGUUGUAAGGCCCUUUUGUUGGGAAAGAAAAGCAGCAGGUUAAUACCCCGCUGUUCUGACGGUACCCAAAGAAUAAGCACCGGCUAACUUCGUG